UACAGCAAAUUAAAACCAAAAAUUAAUAAAUACUUAUGAGAGGUUUUAGGAAUGAUAAUUUUUGAAGUAAUGCUAGAUUUUUUUUGAAGUAAUGGUGGAGUUAAUAUAGAGAGAUUUUAGGCAAUAUUUUUGUUAGGUAAAUAUUUGAUUUAAAAUGUCGAUUGAAAAAAAUAUAUUCAGUGGCAUUGACUCGUAAAUAAGUUUCAAGUCCAAGAUUUAUUUGUUAAAAUGGCUGCAAAAAUGUAUAUGUAGAUUUUACCCUUAUUUGAAAAAGUUGAAGGUUAACAAAAUAAAAUAAU
Molecule: small RNA, 299 nt
Filed under: Arabidopsis thaliana (thale cress)
Lineage: Eukaryota; Viridiplantae; Streptophyta; Magnoliopsida; Brassicales; Brassicaceae
Description: ATSL172240
Source: RNAcentral